GCCGGGUGUGGUGGCAGGCACCUGUAAUCCCAGCUACUCGGGAGGCUGAGGUGGGAGAAUUGCUUGAACCUAGGAGGCAGAGGUUGCAGUGAGCCGAGACUGCGCCACUGCACUCCAGCCUGGGUGACAGAGCAAGACUCCAUCUCAA
Molecule: non-coding RNA, 148 nt
Filed under: Gorilla gorilla gorilla (western lowland gorilla)
Lineage: Eukaryota; Metazoa; Chordata; Mammalia; Primates; Hominidae
Source: Rfam by way of RNAcentral